Molecule: ribosomal RNA, 414 nt
Filed under: uncultured microorganism
Description: bacterial SSU rRNA
Rfam family: Archaeal small subunit ribosomal RNA
Source: RNAcentral
CAGCCGCCGCGGUAAUACCGGCGGCCCGAGUGGCGGCCACUAUUAUUGGGCCUAAAGCGUCCGUAGCCGGGCUGGUAAGUCCCCCGGGAAAUCUGGCGGCUUAACCGUCAGAAUUCCGGGGGAUACUGCCAGCCUAGGGACCGGGAGAGGCCGGGGGUAUUCCCGGGGUAGGGGUGAAAUCCUGUAAUCCCGGGAGGACCACCUGUGGCGAAGGCGCCCGGCUGGAACGGGUCCGACGGUGAGGGACGAAGGCCAGGGGAGCAAACCGGAUUAGAUACCCGGGUAGUCCUGGCUGUAAACGAUGCGGACUUUGUGUCGGACAAGCUAUGAGCUUGUCCGGUGCCGGAGGGAAACCGUUAAGUCCGCCGCCUGGGGAGUACGGCCGCAAGGUUGAAACUUAAAGGAAUUGGCGGG